AGUGGCGAACGGGUGAGGAACACGUGAGAAAUUUGCCCCGAACUUUGGGAUAACAGUUGGAAACGACUGCUAAUACUGGAUGUCGUCGUACCCUCGCAUGGGGGGAUGACGAAAGGGUUACCGGAUCGGGACGGUCUCGCGGCCUAUCAGCUAGUUGGUGAGGUAGAGGCUCACCAAGGCUACGACGGGUAACCGGCCUGAGAGGGCGAACGGUCACACUGGGACUGAGACACGGCCCAGACUCC
This 245-nucleotide ribosomal RNA is filed under the name uncultured bacterium. Its description in RNAcentral is "partial 16S ribosomal RNA". It matches the Rfam family "Bacterial small subunit ribosomal RNA", at positions 94 to 339 of the family's 1533-position model. The record is from RNAcentral.